This 460-nucleotide ribosomal RNA is filed under the name uncultured bacterium. RNAcentral describes it as "partial 16S ribosomal RNA". It matches the Rfam family "Bacterial small subunit ribosomal RNA", at positions 338 to 795 of the family's 1533-position model. The record is from RNAcentral.
CCUACGGGAGGCAGCAGUGAGGAAUAUUGGUCAAUGGCCGGAAGGCUGAACCAGCCAUGCCGCGUGAAGGUCAGUGCCCUAUGGGCGUUAAACUUCUUUUGUGCGGGAGCAAUAAUGGUCACGUGUGGCCAGACGAGAGUACCGUACGAAUAAGCAUCGGCUAACUCCGUGCCAGCAGCCGCGGUAAUACGGGGGAUGCCAGCGUUAUCCGGCUUUAUUGGGGUUAAAGGGUGCGUAGGGUGGGAGGUAAGUCAGCGGUGAAAUGCCCCCGCUCAACGGGGUGAAGUGCCAUGGAUACUGCCUUGCUGGAAUGCGGAUGCCGUAGGAGGAAUGUGUGGUGUAGCGGUGAAAUGCAUAGAUAUCACACAGAACACCGAUUGCGAAGGCAUCUCACGAAUCCGCGAUUGACGCUGAUGCACGAAAGCGUGGGUAUCAAACAGGAUUAGAUACCCCAGUAGUC